RNAcentral lists this ribosomal RNA (253 nucleotides) under uncultured bacterium. Its description in RNAcentral is "partial 16S ribosomal RNA". It matches the Rfam family "Bacterial small subunit ribosomal RNA", at positions 524 to 776 of the family's 1533-position model. The record is from RNAcentral.
UACGGGGGGGGCAAGCGUUGUUCGGAAUUACUGGGCGUAAAGGGCUCGUAGGCGGCCAACUAAGUCGGACGUGAAAUCCCCAGGCUCAACCUGGGAACUGCGUCCGAUACUGGAUGGCUUGAAUCCGGGAGAGGGAUGUGGAAUUCCAGGUGUAGCGGUGAAAUGCGUAGAUAUCUGGAGGAACAUCGGUGGCGAAGGCGGCAUCCUGGACCGGUAUUGACGCUGAGGCGCGAAAGCCAGGGGAGCAAACGGG